Molecule: long non-coding RNA, 1439 nt
Organism: Aegilops tauschii subsp. strangulata
Lineage: Eukaryota; Viridiplantae; Streptophyta; Magnoliopsida; Poales; Poaceae
Source: RefSeq, a predicted model, not a curated record
UUAUUUGUUUGUUGCAUCUCAUCAUGGCAUCAUCCCCAUUGCAUCGGCACUCGUUGCCGUCAUUGUUUUUAAAAACUGCAUCCGCUCGUAGUUGCCGCUUCUUUCGUUUCUCGGUUGACCUUGUCUCUGAUCAACCGGACCGCUCUCUUCUCUCUCUUUUCUGAGCUCAUCAAACCCCUUGCCUUCGUUGAUCGUUCCGAGACCAACCGGGUUUUUCGAGUCCCUAUCGUCUGGCCGCUUAAUCUUUCUCCACAGUGCAUAGACCCCUCGCGUGCGCGUCCGAAAUUGUCCCGAACCCGAACCGGACUAUCGUCACCGUUGGGUCCGGAUCAUCCCCUAACAUCUACAAAACAUCUCCGUUUUCUUUGUUGGACGCUCUAGCCUACUCAUUAUCGACCGCCCGAUUACGAUCGGACGGAUCGUGUUAAACCCCUACCCUAAUCCCCUACCUAUAUAAAUAGUCCAACCAUAAACUUUAGGAAGCUUGUCCCAUCCUUCCCACUCCGCCGCCACCAUCUUCCUCGGGAUCCAAGCCCGCAGCCACCCUCUCUCCUUCCCUCGUUUUCCCCACCGGACCAAUCCUUCCCCUCGACUCAGAGCGCCCCUGCAGCCUCCCGCGUCUGAUCCAGGGAGAGCAGCACCCUCCCGAGUUCCUCCAUGCCGUGCCCCUUCUCCAAGUCCUGGGCCUCUCCUCUAGCUCCCUGCCGUCGUCCCCGGCGAGCAGUUCUGCUAGCACCACCAGCAGGACAGCCACGCUCGCGCCUCUCCUUCCUUUCCCUUUCUUCUCCUGUUGCCUUUCCCUCUCAUGCUCUCUCUCUCUCCCAGGUACGCCCAUCGCCAAGCUGUUGCCGUGCGCGCCUGGAUCCGCCAUCCCCGGCUCCUCCGCGCUCGAUUCCCGUCGCUGCGCCAAGUCCCUCGCCCCGCCUCUGCGUCUCUGCUCCUUCCUCGAUGCCGAGCUCGCCAAGCUCCGCCACCUCGACCUUCUUCUCGUCGGAGUCCCGCACCAACCGCCGCUGCGAGUCGUCCUCAACGCCUUGCCCGCCUUUGGUCGCUCAGCCGGCGAGCCCAGUCGCCGAUGAAGACCCGCAGGAGCGCGUCGCAGCCGCCGCCCGGAUCCACCGCCUCCUGCCGCCCUUCACCUCCUGCCGUCGCCCGGAUCCAGCGCCCCUUCGCCAGUCCCUCCCCGGCGCCGUCUUCUGCGUCGUCGUGUUCUGCUGUUGCUUAUGUUGUAAACGAGCAGAGAACGAGCGCACGCUACCGCCCCCGCGUUGACCCGUCGCCGAGCCCGGCCUCGCGGCUUGCUUCCUCACGGGCCACAACCCACAGCUGGCCCAGCUCCCUUGCCACGGCCUGCCUGGCGUCCUCCUCUCUAGUCGGGCCUUGGCCCAGGCUUCGGUUUCGUUCCGGAGUUGUGAGGAUUCGUUCGACUUCGUCCAUUU